RNAcentral lists this ribosomal RNA (174 nucleotides) under uncultured bacterium. Its description in RNAcentral is "partial 16S rRNA". It matches the Rfam family "Bacterial small subunit ribosomal RNA", at positions 338 to 524 of the family's 1533-position model. The record is from RNAcentral.
CCUACGGGAGGCAGCAGUGGGGAAUAUUGCACAAUGGGCGGAAGCCUGAUGCAGCGACGCCGCGUGAGGGAUGACGGCCUUCGGGUUGUAAACCUCUUUCAGCAGGGAAGAAGCGCAAGUGACGGUACCUGCAGAANANGCACCGGCUANCUACGUGCCAGCAGCCGCGGUAAU